RNAcentral lists this ribosomal RNA (461 nucleotides) under uncultured bacterium. RNAcentral's name for it is "partial 16S ribosomal RNA". It matches the Rfam family "Bacterial small subunit ribosomal RNA", at positions 338 to 795 of the family's 1533-position model. The record is from RNAcentral.
CCUACGGGAGGCAGCAGUGAGGAAUAUUGGUCAAUGGGCGAGAGCCUGAACCAGCCAAGUCGCGUGAAGGAUGACGGCCCUACGGGUUGUAAACUUCUUUUGUCAGGGAGCAAUUGAGUCCACGUGUGGUCUUAGCGAGAGUACCUGAAGAAAAAGCAUCGGCUAACUCCGUGCCAGCAGCCGCGGUAAUACGGAGGAUGCGAGCGUUAUCCGGAUUUAUUGGGUUUAAAGGGAGCGUAGGCCGGCUUUUAAGUCAGCUGUGAAAGUCCGCGGCUCAACCGUGGAAUUGCAGUUGAAACUGGAGGCCUUGAGUGCACACAGGGAUGCCGGAAUUCAUGGUGUAGCGGUGAAAUGCUUAGAUAUCAUGAAGAACUCCGAUCGCGAAGGCAAGUGUCCGGGGUGCAACUGACGCUGAGGCUCGAAAGUGCGGGUAUCAAACAGGAUUAGAUACCCGUGUAGUC